Molecule: ribosomal RNA, 209 nt
Filed under: Lactobacillus delbrueckii subsp. bulgaricus
Lineage: Bacteria; Bacillati; Bacillota; Bacilli; Lactobacillales; Lactobacillaceae
Description: partial 16S ribosomal RNA
Rfam family: Bacterial small subunit ribosomal RNA
Source: RNAcentral
GGAAUCUUCCACAAUGGACGCAAGUCUGAUGGAGCAACGCCGCGUGAGUGAAGAAGGUUUUCGGAUCGUAAAGCUCUGUUGUUGGUGAAGAAGGAUAGAGGCAGUAACUGGUCUUUAUUUGACGGUAAUCAACCAGAAAGUCACGGCUAACUACGUGCCAGCAGCCGCGGUAAUACGUAGGUGGCAAGCGUUGUCCGGAUUUAUUGGGC